Molecule: unclassified non-coding RNA, 127 nt
Filed under: uncultured Eocronartium
Lineage: Eukaryota; Fungi; Basidiomycota; Pucciniomycetes; Platygloeales; Eocronartiaceae
Description: sequence contains ITS1
Source: RNAcentral
AAGAAUUUAAAGAGUGCACUUAAUUGUGGCUCGACAUUUUCUACCAUUCACCCUAGUGCACUGUAAUACCUUUUUUUAUUAAACUCUACAAAGUCAUUGAAUGUAACACUUUUUUUAUAAAGAAAUA